UUUUUUUGUUUUUUUUUUUUUGGUUGCGUCUAUUGACGCUUUAAGGAAGGAAGUUUAGGGAAUAUCAGGAUGGUUUGCGCGCGCAGUUGGAGUAAGCAGCUGAUCUGAACUUCUUCACUCCGCCGUUUGGUCGAACGUCUUCAAUGCUGUAGCCGAGGGGAGCUUCGUAAAAUAAGGAACUACUACUACUAGACUUCUUUUUACCACCUUUUGACUCCAUUAGAUCA
Molecule: unclassified non-coding RNA, 227 nt
Filed under: Hevea brasiliensis (rubber tree)
Lineage: Eukaryota; Viridiplantae; Streptophyta; Magnoliopsida; Malpighiales; Euphorbiaceae
Source: RNAcentral